This 497-nucleotide ribosomal RNA is filed under the name uncultured bacterium. Its description in RNAcentral is "partial 16S ribosomal RNA". It matches the Rfam family "Bacterial small subunit ribosomal RNA", at positions 28 to 507 of the family's 1533-position model. The record is from RNAcentral.
GAUGAACGCUGGCGGCGUGCCUAAUACAUGCAAGUCGAGCGAACAGACGAGGAGCUUGCUCCUCUGACGUUAGCGGCGGACGGGUGAGUAACACGUGGAUAACCUACCUAUAAGACUGGGAUAACUUCGGGAAACCGGAGCUAAUACCGGAUAAUAUAUUGAACCGCAUGGUUCAAUAGUGAAAGACGGUUUUGCUGUCACUUAUAGAUGGAUCCGCGCCGCAUUAGCUAGUUGGUAAGGUAACGGCUUACCAAGGCAACGAUGCGUAGCCGACCUGAGAGGGUGAUGGGCAACACUGGAACUUAGACAGGGUCGCGAAUCCUACGGGGGGCAGAAGGAGGCAAUCUUCCGCAAAGGGCGAAAGCCGAACGGAGCAAAGACGCGGGAGGAAGAAAGGUUUAAGUAUCUUAAAACUUUGUUAUGAGGGAAGAACAAAUGUGUAAGUAAAAAUGCGCGUCUUGACGGUACAUAAUCAGAAGGCCACGACUAACUACGUG